CGUGUGCUGUCCGCGGGGACCCAGAGACUCAGUCCCGGGUUCUCGAGCCCCGCCAAGGCAGCAGCAUCCUACGGCAGCGCUCCAUGGGGACGCCGGGAGGCGGCAGAUUGAGAAAGGAUACAAUUAAGAACAGCCAGAUGGAAGAGCUGGACAGAGCAAAGUGUGGCUUAAGAGGAAUGAGCACAACAUUUCCUGGCACACCAUCCUUCCCAAGAGUCCACCAUCUCUAGGAAGAGAUUAAACUGAGGCCAUCAUACACGUGAGGAAUGCACUCUACUAGUGAGCUUCAUCCCCUGCCCACUUCAAGAAAAACUUUUACCAUUACCUUCUAC
Long non-coding RNA from Sorex fumeus (smoky shrew), 332 nucleotides. RefSeq lists it as uncharacterized. NCBI's taxonomy places the organism in Eukaryota, Metazoa, Chordata, Mammalia, Eulipotyphla, Soricidae. The transcript is spliced from 3 exons. The record is from RefSeq and is a predicted model, not a curated record.